AAAAGUGCUUACAGUGCAGGUAGCUUUUUGAGAUCUACUGCAAUGCAAGCACUUCUUAC
This 59-nucleotide microRNA precursor is filed under the name Pteropus alecto (black flying fox). RNAcentral describes it as "microRNA pal-mir-106a precursor". Its record names the gene pal-mir-106a. It matches the Rfam family "mir-17 microRNA precursor family", at positions 11 to 70 of the family's 80-position model. From Rfam's summary of the family: This family represents the microRNA (miRNA) precursor mir-17, family, which includes mir-20, mir-91, and mir-103. miRNAs are transcribed as ~70nt precursors (modelled here) and subsequently processed by the Dicer enzyme to give a ~22nt product. In this case the mature sequence comes from the 3' arm of the precursor. The extents of the hairpin precursors are not generally known and are estimated based on hairpin prediction. The record is from miRBase by way of RNAcentral. RNAcentral also lists the same sequence under 4 other names. Lineage: Eukaryota; Metazoa; Chordata; Mammalia; Chiroptera; Pteropodidae.